This 310-nucleotide ribosomal RNA is filed under the name uncultured Actinomyces sp. RNAcentral describes it as "bacterial SSU rRNA". It matches the Rfam family "Bacterial small subunit ribosomal RNA", at positions 156 to 481 of the family's 1533-position model. Lineage: Bacteria; Bacillati; Actinomycetota; Actinomycetes; Actinomycetales; Actinomycetaceae. The record is from RNAcentral.
ACGACUGCUAAGCCCCGAUGAACCGAAAGGGAAAAUAUUUAUAGCCUGAAGAUGAGCUCGCGGCCUAUCAGCUUGUUGGUGGGGUGAUGGCCUACCAAGGCGGUGACGGGUAGCCGGCCUGAGAGGGUGGACGGUCACACUGGGACUGAGACACGGCCCAGACUCCUACGGGAGGCAGCAGUGGGGAAUAUUGCACAAUGGGCGCAAGCCUGAUGCAGCGACGCCGCGUGAGGGAUGGAGGCCUUCGGGUUGUAAACCUCUUUCGCCAGUGAAGCAGGCCUGCUCCUUGUGGGUGGGUUGACGGUAGCUG